AAAAAGAUAAACUGUGGGUUCCCGUGUCAACGUUUGAUUGUCCGUCUUAUAUAAAUUUUUUUUUAUAAUUAGUAUUUUUAUUGUUGAUAGAUGAUAAAACAUGAUUAAUACUUUAUGCGUGACUUGUCUUUUUAAUUUUUUUCAUAAUUUUUUCAAAUAAGACGGACGGUCAAACGUUAGAGAUGGAAACCAGGGUCCGUCUUUUU
Non-coding RNA from Oryza barthii, 206 nucleotides. The record is from Rfam. Lineage: Eukaryota; Viridiplantae; Streptophyta; Magnoliopsida; Poales; Poaceae.